This 253-nucleotide ribosomal RNA is filed under the name uncultured bacterium. RNAcentral's name for it is "partial 16S ribosomal RNA". It matches the Rfam family "Bacterial small subunit ribosomal RNA", at positions 524 to 776 of the family's 1533-position model. The record is from RNAcentral.
UACGUAGGGUGCAAGCGUUGUCCGGAAUUAUUGGGCGUAAGGAGCUCGUAGGCGGUCUGUCGCGUCGGCUGUGAAAACCCGGAGCUCAACUCCGGGCCUGCAGUCGAUACGGGCAAACUGGAGUGUUGCAGGGGAGACUGGAAUUCCUGGUGUAGCGGUGAAAUGCGCAGAUAUCAGGAGGAACACCGGUGGCGAAGGCGGGUCUCUGGGCAACAACUGACGCUGAGACGCGAAAGCGUGGGGAGCGAACAGG